GAAAGGAGGGGCUCAAGCACACAAGAUCUUCCAAAUCUUUAUACACUGUCAACAGAGAAACAGCAGAGUGUCAGCUAAGAAAUCUCCUCCCCAGCUUUGC
Long non-coding RNA from Lagopus leucura (white-tailed ptarmigan), 100 nucleotides. RefSeq lists it as uncharacterized. Lineage: Eukaryota; Metazoa; Chordata; Aves; Galliformes; Phasianidae. The record is from RefSeq and is a predicted model, not a curated record. The transcript has 3 exons.